UUUUUUUUUUUUUUUUGUCAAAAACUAAUCUCAUCUUUAUAAAAGGGGAUUAUAUUCUUUGAAGAUGAUAUGAACCACAUGUUUACUUACAGGGUAAUACCAAAAAUAAAUAAAUAAAUAAAUUCAUUGUGCCAGGAACAGGUUCCAGAACACUAGAUGUCAUAAUACAAUAGGUUGAAUUUUUUUUUUCCAAGUUUUCAACCGGUUUUGAUCCGUGUUCUCGGCACACUAAAAAACCUCUUAAUAUUAGGGAGACCAUCUAUUAAAGCAUAUUUUGUAAAUCACAUGACAUGGUUGUUGAUGAUUAAAUUAUUACUUAAAUGUUGAUAAACGUGCUUAUUUUCUAUCAAUGCACAUCAAAUGCAAAUAUGAUCAAAAAAUUAAUCUACAUAGCAUUACUCCUACUUAUAUAAAAUGAGUAUUGGUAUUUUUCCGAUUCUUAACUUCACUCUUUUUACAAAUUUUCUAUUUACUAAAACAUGGAUAUUAUAACUAUUUUUAUUACUAACACACAUGUAUUAUAAAGUGUGGAUUCCACAUUAAUGACAUAUUUUAGAAUCAUUAUGAUUCUUGAGUGUUUCGUGCUUAUCAUAAUACAGGUGUUUAGAAUCAUUUCAUGACAUUGUCAUACGUAUUGGUUCCCAUCUCAAUACCAAGUAAACAUGUCCUCAACUCUAAACUUUUCUUAUGUUUACUAAUACAUAUAGAAUUAGAGAAAAUGCGGGUUUCUCCUUGAAAUAUAUAAACGAAUACCUGAAAAUUGAGAUUAAGAUUAACUUAGGAAUUAAUUGAUCUGAAUACAUUUCCUUACUUCUCAUAUUCCUAAAUUCCCCAAUUCACGUCUCCUCACAUUCACAUUAAGUAACACAUGUCACAAAAUUCAUAAUUUAAUACCCGAAAUUAAGAAAACGAUUUCUGAACGUUUUUUUUUCUUCUAUUUUUGUUUCUUAAUUAUUUUUUUUAAUUAGUCACUCUAAAAGCUAGAAAUAAAAAAAAAGGUAAUGAGCCCACCUCAACUCAAUCCUUGUUAUUUUGGGAUUUAGAAGAGAAUGGACCACAUAAAUAUGUAAUUUACAACUCUGAAUGUGAGGAAUAUUCUUUUGGCAUUUCGAACCACUCUUAUACUCUUUUAUUUUCUUUUAAUAAAUUUUCUAUUAUUAAAUUAAUAUAUUGUAUUGAAUUAAAUAAAUAUUAGUUAAUUAAAUAUUAAAUAAUAUGAGACUCGAAAUGAAAGUACCCUUCUUGCAUACAUUCCCCAUUAUGUUGUCGGAACAAAAAUAUUGCAUGUAUCAAUAUGGAUGGAAAUAUUUAGUACAUGAAAUAGCGAUUUGCUAGAUAUAUAUAAAUAGAUGUAUAAGAUAUAACUAAUAAAACGGAUCUUGUGUUCUGGAAUUGGAAUCAAAGAAAGAUAUUAAAAUGACUCGCAUGUUGUGACUUGGAAUAAAUGUUUCUUGGUAAAGGAAGGGAAUAGUAAUUUAUUCAUUCCUAAUUUAUUCCUAUAGAACGUCUAGAAACAAGAAGAUUAAAUCGGAUAUAUCGACAGAUUCCCGCGUAGUCCAAAGAAAAAAAAGAUCCAAUAUACCGUAACGAAGUAUGAUUCUCUUCUCUUUUUCUUUUUUCCCUUCUUGUUUUUCCUUCUUCUUCUUUCCCCUUCUAUUUGAACGGAUAUGGUUAAAACACGCUAAUUUUUUAUAUAUAUUUUUUUAGAGAGAGACAAAAUGGAGAGUGUGAGAGGACUGGAGAGAAGGAGGUGAAAAUAAGAAGGGAAAGAAUCUAAGUUUGACAGUGACAUAAUGUUUUUGUCUAAAUCAAUGACGUGGACAAAAAUAACAUAUAUUUUAUUUCAUUGUGAAGAGACAACUGUAGCAGUUUCAAGAAGGUCUUAUAUAGGACAGUUACACUGUUACAGUUACACUUCUUACCACCGAAGUAAAGGCAUGCUUACGUUUUUGUCCAGAUGUCAUUGUUUCAUUAGCACAUUACCUUGAGGUCUGGAGAAAGUUGCUAAGGUUUUUCUAAUCCUCCAUUCUCGAAAGGAAGAACAUAAAAUUCUUUUUCCUUUCCACAAAGAUCAGGAGAUUAGAUCUAGCUGUAAAAAAAAUACUGCAAUAUAAAAAUGUUCCCCUACCAUUUAAGUCGUCACCCCCCCUCUCUAUCUCUCUCAUAUUUCUGCUUAUCACAAUAGAAAUAAGUUGCCCAUACCAUUUAAGUCGUCUUCUCUCUCUCUCUCUCUCUCUCUCUCUCUCUCUCUCUCUCUCAUAUUUCUGCUUAUCACAACAGAAAUAAGUUGCAAUAAGGAUAACGAUUUCUGAUUUCAAAACACACAUUUCUGAGCUCUGACCAAAAUAAAAAAAAUUAACACACUUACUGACCGAAAAGUCAAACGGCCGCUUCGUGAAGAGGAUGACACAGAGGAGAAAGAACCACGAUAAAAACGUUUUUGUUUUUAAUUUUCUGUUGUGUGUGUGUCAGUGCGUGUAUGUUUAGGUCAACAAUUCUACAUAUUGUUUAUUUUGUAAAUGAGUUUCUUGGUAGUGGGUUUUAUUGGUCACCAAAGUAUUCAUGAUUUAUUGUUUUUGUUUCAAAACAAAAUUAAUUAAAGAACAGAUAAUUAGUGAUUAGUUUAUGCCAUGUGGGAUUGAUUAAAGUGUGAAUCUACAUAUACCUAAUACCACCCCCCAAAAGGUACUCCAUCAUUUUAAGGAUGUAAUAUUCACAUACUCGUUCUAUUUUUUACAUAUUUUUAUUAAUAUUUGACUAUUGAUUUUCUCCGGAUUUAGUACUAUCAUGCAUUCAAUAUCAUUUGAUAUAAUAACAUCAUUUGUUUUAUAAAAAUGUCAUUACCACGUGAAUUGAUGUCCCUUUUUUUUGGCAUGUGGAUAUGAAACCAUAAUGCAAUACUGCGGUGCUGGUGGUGGUGGAAGCGGUCAACUAUAUACAUAGUACAUAAGAGAGAAAAUUAAUAGUUAAGUUGGAAAGAAUCGUUCUAUGAAAUUAUCUUAAUAUACGUAAAAUUACUUGUUGUAAUUGCGUAUUAGAAAUCAUCGUAUUACGUAUAUGUGAAAUGCAUUCGUAUAUGAGAUAACCUUCCAUGUGUCCAAUUGAUUAUUGUUCCAGUCGUAGUUUUUUUUUCUGUUUGGUUAGAAGAUCUCAUAGGUUUCAUUUAACAGACAAGAUGCAAAACGAUGAACAUUUGCGAUAAGUUGAUGCCUAGUUGCGACUAUUCAUAUUACGAGAAUAUUUUGUUUACUAGUCUCAAGUAAUGGUGAUGUUCAUCACCCAAUUUAUCAAAGGUAGAUAAAUUUGAAUUUCAAAAUCUGUAUAGUUAAUAGACACAAAUCUCACAAACUCAUCAAAUAGUAAUAAAUAUGGUGGUGAACAUUAAUAUAACGAGUGUUUGUUCAACAACUCUUUUACAAUUUAUAAAAAAAUAAAAUGCAAAAUAAAAGUUAUUUAUUUUCUAUCUAAGUGAGAAUCGCGAUCUAGGCAGGUGCCUAAACAUCAUUUAUUAAUUUUCAAAUGCCUAAAAAAUGCUAGGUGGAAGUUUUUAAAACAGUGCUUGAGAGUGCUAAGCAAAAAUACACUAUUCAUAUCAUGGAAGUGUAUCUUUGUUGGCAGAUGGGACUAUUUUUAUAAAGGAUAAUAAUUAUUAUUAAGAUAUUUUUCGGGGAUUGUUAUUGGCAUACUAGCAUUCUCAUUUUGCAUUUCAAAUUGUUUAUAUUUAGAAAGAAAAAUAAACUUAUAAAGUGUGCAUAAUAAGAUUUUUAGAAUAUCAAUGACAUUUACUAUUUUUAUAGCUCAUUCUGAAAAAACAUCUUCAUAAAUACAAUUGUUUUUCUUAAAAAAAUUAUUAUUAGCAAUCAAAAUGAGUCAUUAUGCAUUAUUUCUUCUUUGUAAUUUUUUUAUCAUAAAAGAGUGCAUAAUAAAUUUUUGAAAUAAUAACUCCCAAACAACAUUAUCGUUAAAAACAAACAAAAUAAGGCAAGUGAUCAUUUAUUAUAGUAGUGGAAAGAUAUUGACCUCUCAUACAUAAUAACGUGAGUUCAAAUUUUAUCGAUGACUAAUUUAAAAUCUAAUCUAACAAAAUUUAUCGCUUAACAAAAAAAAGAAAAAGACAUAAAUCUCCUCUUUUUGUUGGGAAACUAAAAAAAAUCUUCCUUGGAUUCCAAGAUAUUCGCAUCACAAAUACAAAUUAAUUUCAAAUUAGAUGAUUAAAUGUAGUAAAAGUCCAAUGAUGUUUUUGAGCCACCUACACUUUAUUUUCUUUCUUAAAAAACAAAGGUGCAAAAUUUUCAGAACACAGGACGGAACAUUAUAUAUCAUCAUGCAAUUAUAUAACAAAUCAAUUAUCUAGUAAAUUAUAUAAUAAUACGUAAUAUUUCGCCUCGAAUUUCAAGCUCACUAUAAUAUCUCUCUAACAGGUCAGGUUUGUGUAACUUACCCUCGAGAAACAGAAAACUAAUGUUGUUAUUGGACAAGUAAAAUCUCCAUUAAAAAAUACAAAAUCCAUUCUAAUUUUUACAUAAUUUAAUUGAAAUAAAUAAAAAAUUAGAUUUUAAUAAACCUAAUUAGCUAAUAAAAACAGAACCACCUAAGUCAUAACCGGAAUCGAAAAAAGUGACCGAAGAAAAACUGGAAACAAAAUUAAAAAAUUAUUAAAUUUGUUUUCCUUUUUGAAAAAUUAAAUUAUAAACGGUCAGAAUUAGAAACUCAGAGCCAUAAAAUCAAUAUUCCUUUCAAUCCUGAUUCCUGGAUAUAAAAGAACAACACCCAGAAUUUCAAUUCUCUCUCUCUAUCCCAAUUAUAUUGAAAACCCCAUUCUCUCUCUCCUCUCCCUCUCUCUCUCUCUUUCUCUCUCUCUCUCUCUGGGAGUACCCUUUUGAUCUCGCUUGCUUUGAUCGGUUUUCGUUUCGGUGAGGUUUUUCUUCUACCCCGAUUUCACUGAAAUUCUCAAACUUUUUCAUGAUUUUCUUUUUAUUUGCUGCAAUUUUUGAAGCUUUUGUGGCCGUUAGCGUUUAAUUUGAGCUCUAGGGUUUUUUGCUCCUUCCGAUUACAAUUUCGACGAUUUCGUUAUGUGUAAUCUUGUAAUUGAAUUGGUUUUUUUUUUCUUCUUUUGCAGGAACUUUUUGAAGAAAUUCGGCAUUCUUCGGAUAUAAUCCCUUUGUUUAUGAUAAUAAAGUAUGUAAUUUUGUACUUAUGUUAAUUUUUUUUUUCUAAGAGUUCGGGAAAUUGAUUUAUUUUUUGUUGAAAUAAAUUUGGGUUUCUUCUGAUUUUCUUAGGAAAGUCAAAGAAAUUAAAAAAAAAAACUUCAAAUUUAAAUAAAUAUUACAUAUAAUUUGCCCCCCUUUAAACUGAUGAGCAAAACUAAGGGGUAAUUUAUAUAUAUCCAACACAGUACACGAAUUUAUGGAACCAAGUUUGUUGAGGUUAUCAUCUGCAUGUUACUUUUUUUUUUUUCAAUUUUUUAAUUUUUAUGUUAUAUUAGAUUUUAUGGUCUAAAUCUGUGAUUGUAUAAGCUGUGUGGUAUUGUAUUUUCUGUCGCUUGAUUUUCUUUCUUAACGAGGUUUGUCAAUAUAGGACUUGUUCUUGUUGUUUUCGUAGCUCAUAGAAUCUCAUAAUUAUGAUAAUUCGCACGUAGCUGCUGAUUACGUUGAUUUGGAGUGUAUUGUUUGUUUUCGCCCAUGAACCUUUGUAUUGUUUGUUUUCGACCAUGAACCUUAGCUCAAGUGGCAUGAGAAGGGUGAGGUGAGUAUGAAGAUCCUAGGUUUGAAUCGAAAAAGGACGUAUAGUUUGUGACCAUGAGAUGAAUGCUAUACUUAAACGUGUAUGUUUGGCUGAGUGGGAUUCUUUAGUAGAUGGGUUAAUCAAUAAUGGGGAAGUUUUUUACUUUCUGAGGAGAAUAGGAAGUUACGUAUGGAAUUAGUUUGGACAAAGUCAUGGAUAAGACUUCUUUGUAUGGUUUACGGGAUGUGAUGAGAAUGGUAAUAUUUGUUGGUAUAAAUUUGGAAGAGUGAACUUCUCUUCCACAUUUUCUUAAAAAUAUUUUUUUUUAACAGUGAAACCUGUGCUUCCCCCUUCAUUUAGUUUCAGGUGCACUUGGUAUCUUUUAAGGUUACAAACUUGUGGUAGAGAGUAGUAGACUAAGACAAGCAGUGGGUAUUUGUUUUAUCAAAGUAUGCUUUCAUCAUGUUUCACUGGGGAUUCAUGAUUUUAGUUAUCUUUAAAAAGAAUGAAAUAUGCUGGAUAAUUGGAUUUUUGGCAACCUAAAGAGUUCACAUUAUCUCGUAUGGUGGAUGAAAGGAGCAGUUUUCUUUUUGAGAUAUUUCUUGCUGCUUGAGGGUUUUCUUAUGCUUUCCUUCCACUCCUGAAGUAUUUUGUGGUCAAUGUGAUCUCCCCGUUAUUGUGGCUGCAUGGACUAACCUUUUGCUUGAGUGUCUAUGUUGAUUUGUGCAUUUUGAGUAUCAAUUUUCAGUUACCAUGUUACUGUAUAAUUGACCGAACCUUAAUUGGGAGAUUGAUUUAGACGUUCUACCGAACCUUAGGUUAUUUUUAUUGUGAUUGACAGUGACGUUGGUUGUGCUUAGUUACAAGAUUUUAACUUCCUACUCUAGAAGACUAUGACUUUUUUUUUCCCUCCUUUUUGAACAAAAAAAUUUAUAUAGAAAAUGACCUUAUUUUUAUUUUUCAAAGAUUGUAUAUAAUAUAACUGAAUCAUUCGUAAAGGAUGGUAAAUGAAAUUAGUGCUAAAGUCUGAACGUUGGAGGGUAUAACAUAUAGACCUGUUCACCCACUCCACGGGGAGUGAGGAAUUCCACGGUCAACCUACCUUUCAGCUACUAGAUGGACACUUAUAUUGUCUGUAAACACUAAAAUAAUAGCUGAGGAUAGUCAAGUGCUUAAAUGAUUGCACAUUUGGAUUAUUUUUUGCAUGAUCCUUAAAUGGACACUUUAAAAAUAAAUGGUUUAGAUAAUUGAAUCACAAUGUAUAGUGGAUCCCAAAAAGUUGGUAACCCUGGAACUGCUUGCUCACUAUGAAGUGGGUAACUGGACCAUGUAUGCAUCUAAAUGUUUUUUUUUUGACUUGUUCCAUGUUCUAUAAUGUCCUAACUGAUCAUCUGACUGAUUUUUGUAGAUACAUUGGCUGGAGCGAAGGGAUUAUUUGCGACUUCAAUGGGGCAAAGAAAUAUGCUAUGCCCUAGUCAGAUGAUCGAUUUGGAAAUGAGUCAACAAGGGGAAGGUUAUCCCUGUCCCCCACCCUCCGUCCAUUUUGGGGGCGCUUCUAGUAUCCAACUGCACAAUGUUCACACAAUGGUAACAGCUUCAGGGGGCACUACUAGUUUUGAUGCCCAACAUUUACCCGAGGGUUAUGAUAAUGCCGCAUUCUAUGGGAUGGCCCAGUACAGUGGUGUUCAGCAUCAUCAUAAUCUUGAUUUGGGCAUUGCGACUCCAGCCAACUAUUAUUAUUCGUACAUGACUCCUUCGUCUAGUACUGGGGUGUUACCUGUUCCUCUAAAUCACGGUGCUUCUGAUCCGUCGCCAUCUUCUAGCCAUUAUGGAGCCAUUGGAAUUUCUGCAGAUGAGUAUGGUAGAAAUAGUCGCAUAAUGGAUGAUGCUAGAGGUCAGUUUAAGAGAAAAAACCCUGAAGGCCUACCAGGGAAUUUCCAAUAUUUUAAUGCCUCUGCAACCCCUAGUUCUUCAGUGCCUCCUUUGAAUUUGAGGAAUCCUGAUGGAGUUGCUGUAAUGGAUGCUGUAACUUAUGCCUUGCCUCAGUAUGCGGGAACUGGCAAUCCACCAAUUAUGGAAGCAGGACCUCAGAGUAGUAUGAGGAACAGAUCAGCUACAGCUGGGCUUGAUUCUGUUAUGACACAUGACCAUAACCAUCUGAAUCAAGUAAAUUAUGCGGGUCAGCGCUUUCAGCCGGCUGGAACACUUUGGUUGGAUCAACAUUUAAGUAGUAACAGUGGGGAUGGAAGUUCUCCAUCCUGGAAUCCAGUUCCUACUAUUCCUUUUAUGCAUGGUCAGUACUUGCUUGUAUUUUCUUCCCUUAUAAUUGGACUCCUAUUUGCAUCUGAUUAGGUCAUUUAAUGUCAGAAAGGUCAUGUUUCAGUUGCUCUUACAACGUAUUGAUCUAAUUAAGGAAACACACCUAUGUGUCUUAAUUUAAUGAUCAAUGUGCUAAUUAUUAAUUGGAACACUUUGUCUCUGUGCUCAUUCUCACAGGGGGUAAUGUCACAGUAGGUUCUAUGGACAGCGCAAACAUGGGUAUGCAAAGAUAUCAUGAUUCAUCUAGCAACAGAAAUUCCUCUAUUCUCCGGCAUCCUCCUCCGCUCAACCACCGCCAUCAUAAUCAGCAUGUAGCACCACCCAUGCAAGGAUUAAGAGGCCACAACCUUAAUUUUAUCCCCCAGGGUGCCACAGCAGCUUCAUAUAGAUUACCCACAAGUUCCUCGCGCAGCACCAUGAAUCCUUCUCAGAAUGGUUUGGAGAUUGGUCGUAGGCAACCAGGAUCUAUUCCCUCGAAUGGUUUUAGGAUAUACAGGCCACACCAAGGAGUUAUUCCCGAGGCAGCUUUAAGACACCAGAACCUUCCCCACUUCAGAGUUCUUCAGGCUGAUGUAAUCUCUCUCUCUGUCUCUCUGUGUCUCUGUGUCUCUGUGUCUCUCUCUCUCUCUCUCUCUCUCUCUCUAUAUAUAUAUAUAUAUCGCUUGCGUGUUAUUUGGAAGUGUGGUAUAUGCAUUUAGUAUUUACCACCUACGUUUGAGAUUAUAUUUGGCUGAACCUUUUUGGAUUUUUUUUUUUGUAGGAGGGUGUCAUAGUAGAUGUUCCUAAUUUAUAUGGAAGCUUUCUUGACCAGCACAGAGACAUGCGGUUGGACAUAGAGGACAUGUCCUAUGAGGUAAACUGAAGUAGUUCCAUUCUUACCUAUUUGUUCAUUUAGAUACAUCAACGAAUUGCUGAAUCGUGCAGAUAAGCAAAAGAUAAAAGAGUUCCUUAGCUAUGCCAAUGGAUUCUCAGAUAUAUUUAUGUUCCUACUGCUUUUAUUCUGUUAUUCCGAUAGUUAUGCUGCUUCUGCAGAGUUUUAACCUGAAAACUCCACUUUCGACUGCAGGAGCUUCUUGCAUUGGGGGAGCAAAUUGGCCAUGUAAACACUGGGUUGUCAGAUGAGGCCAUUAGAAAACAACUAAAGACAAGGUCUUAUUUAUCAUCUUCAAUUAAUUUAAACCUCGAAGAUGCUGGAUCCCCAGAGAAGGAAGCCGAUUCCUGCAUUAUAUGCCAGGUACCAUAAAUCUCGUUCCAACAUAUUUUUCGUCUUGAUGGUUAUGUGCAAUUGAGUAGCUUCAUACUCGUGAAUCUCUAAUAGUUACCAUUUAAGAAAAUAAAUACGAUCUUGCCGGUCAAUUCACCAUUGUUGCGUUUGGGAUUUUACAGGAUAAUUACAAGAACCGCGAGAAGAUAGGAAUUCUCCACUGCGGACACGAGUAUCAUGCAAGUUGCUUGAAGAAGUGGUUGCUUGUGAAAAAUGUGUGCCCCAUCUGCAAAUCCGAAGCGUUGAACACAGGGAAGAAGAAUGUAUAGAAGGGGCGACAGUUGAAUGACAAAGGAUUCUUCCUUUGUUCUUUCAUCUAACUUUAUUUUGUUAUAUAUUUUUGUAUAUGCACCGGCAUAUAAUAUAUAUCGACCAACUGUUACCAACAUUGGUCAUGUACCUAUCAAACUUGUACAGACUUUUUAAAUUUUUUUUUUUAAUUAUUCUGCCUCUGCGGUCGCACUUGGUGCGAUGGCAAGUGCCUUCGCCUAUGAGUGGUAGGUCUCGGGUUCGAGACUUGGGAGGAGUCUCUCCAUAAAUGAGGGUAAGGCUAGCCGACAUUCACCUCUCCCAGACCCUGCGUAAAGCGGGAGCCUUGUGCACUGGGUACGACCUUUUUAAUUAUUCUGCCUCUGCGGUAUUACUCUUGGUAAUUAAGCCACAUCUUGUUCAAUUGUGUCAACUAUUUGUUUAUUUUUUUUGAAUAAUUCGUCUUUGUCGAUGAAAAAUGAUCGGCCGACGCUGAAUUAUGACUAUGUUUGAAAGAGAAUGUAAUGUUUUUGUUCGUUAUAUUGAUAUUAAGCACUGUAAAUUUCAUGUUGCAUGUUUGUGGUGUGUAGCUCCGUUGGUGACUAAUUGGAUAUGGAAUAUGGUACAAGCUACGAGAUUCUUUUGAGAGAUUAUAAUCUCUAAAUUUGAGAAUCUAUUUGACAAAAUAUAGUAAAACUUCAAUGAUUUAAUAUCUAAUUAAUUAAUAAUCACGGUUAAAUAAUAUUUUAGGUCGGUAUUGACUUGGAAUAAUGUGUUUCGUUAAAGGUUUGCGAAAUUUAUAAUAUUAGACAUCAUACAAAAAUUCAUACAAGUCUCACGCAAUACAUAAAUUAAUAGUUUCUUGAUUUCUUUACACCUUUAAGAUGAGAAGCCAUUGAUGUAUGUAUGAUGUGUUGUGUUACUACGGCUUUUUUACUUGAAUAGAGUUUUUGCUUGGUUAAAUGUUUAUAAAAUAAACAAUGGAAACUUUGGAUGCAAUCCUUAGCUAUGAAUAUUGUUUGACUAAAACCUUGUUGAUUUUUAAUUUUUGAUCGAAGUCUCUGAAAUUAAUGUGAUAAUUUAUUUCUAUGUAUGUUACUAUAUUUUUUAAAUUAAAAAUUAAAAUUUAUAGUUGUUUAUAUUAAUGAGAUUUUAAAUAGUGAGAUUAAAAAUAUUAAAAUAUAAAUAUACUAUUGUGUGUGUAUAUAUAUAAAAACAUGGGUACAUUCAUAAAAAAUAACCAAAAAUUAUUGUACCAAAACAUGGGUACAUUCUUCAAAAUCACAAAAAACGAAGAGAAUAUUAGGUAUAAUAACAUUAGUAAAUUUCUUCAAUUAAACUUGAUAGGAAUACAUUCUCAAGUCAAAGAAAAAAAAAUGUACACAUAUAAGUUUAAAAAUGGAUUAGAAAAAAAUUGAAUAGAUUUUAUAUAUAAAAAAGGUACAUUUUACAUAUAACAAAUUGGUAUAUUUAAAAAUGAGUACAUUUUAAGAUUAAAAAUUUGAAAAAAAAAUUACAUGAAUGGGUACAUAUAAGAUUAAAAUAUUUAAAAUAUUUUUUAAAAAAGCUAAUGGGUACAAACUUAUUCUAAUUUUUUAAUUUAUUUUGGAAAUGUUUUGAAUUGAAAAUUAGUUAGGAGUUUAAUAAAGGUGAGAGUAUUACAAUUCUAAAUCAAUUAUUAAUUUUUAUUUUAAAAAAAUUAUGUAACUGACAUUUAAAUUCAUUAUUACAUUCAUACUAGAGACUUUGAUCAAAAUCUGAAAACUAAUAAUGUUUCAGUCAAUGAACAUUAGUAACUAGGGACCGGAUAGUAAUUUUUCCAUAGAACAAUAUAUUACAUUGAACAAUGUACAAUUUAUUUUUUAAAAUAAUAUAAGAUUCAUAAAUUUUACUUGAUUAAACAAACUACAUAAAAGUAUAUUGGUCCAAGGCUUUUUUAUUUUUUUAAUAAUACUAUAUUAUUUUUUAAUACCCCGUAUUUAAAAAAAAUUGUUAUAUAUAUAUGUGUCACUGCCCGUCCCGAAAAUUCAGUUAUCGUGGAUGUGAUUUGACGAAAUUGCCCUUAAAGGUUACUAAGGUAUGUGUGACUUGUUUAAUUUGAAUAAUUCAUACAUUCCUAAGUUUUUGGAAAAAUUGAGUUGGAUUAAAAAAAUUGGUUUGCAUUUAGUGUGGUUAGGGGAAUGACACACACUCAAAACAAACCUCACACUCUCUCCCCUCACCCCUCACCCCGUGCCCUCUCUCUCUUCCCUCUCAAUUCACUCUUCCUCUCUCCCUCUCGAACUCGUACGGACAAGAACCAAAAACCCUCAAAUCUCCACGGAUCGAUGUAAAAAAGGUGAGUUCCUUUAUCCUUGCAAGCUUGUGAGUUUAUUGGUACCAUUUUUGAACUUAAAACCUUCGAAAACUCCUGAAAUCCGAACCCCCAGUUUGAGUACUGUUCAUGCACACGUGAAAUGUUGACUUCAGGGAAUUCUAAGCUUACAUGGAGCUUAGUGAGGUCCCAAGGAAGCUCGGAGUACUUAGUUUGAAGGUUUUGGACGUCGGGAUUGUAGGGUUCAAAGUUGGCCGGUUUUCUUGGAUUUUCUCCGGUGAGAUUUCGUGUGUUUUUGAGCCUUAAAUUAGUAUAAUGAUUCUACAUGCUUAGGGCUUUAUUUUGAUGUAAAAUGCAUAAAAAAUGGUUGAGAAUUGACGGAGAAAAUGGAGUUUGAAAAAUCUCCAGUUUUCCGGCGCCGGCGAAACCAGUCCGACGACUGGAGGUAAGGGACGACGCGCGUGGGGGCGCGCAGGUCCGUACCAUUCCUCGUGCGUGAGGGCGCAUGGCAAGUCAAAAAUUUUUCUAAAAAUUUGGUGAUGAUCCUGAGGUUGUGUAGAUCAUUGUGGUAUAUUCAUAUACCCAAAUUGAGCAUCGUAUGAGAAGUUAUUACAUAUUGUUGGUUAUGUGCUUUAAAUAACUUUUUUAUAGUUGUUUCGCAUAUAGGUGAGACCUAUCACGAGGACGAACGCAUUCAAGGGCGUCACGGGGGUUACGACCUUUCGACUUACCAGUGAGUGGACAGUUAUUUUCCGUUUAUACCUAUAUACUACUGAUUUUCCCAGAAAUUGAAUAUAAAUGAAAGUAUGUUUUAAAAUGCCAUGCAUGCAUAUUCCAUGAAAAAUAUGAAUUAGUAUUUGAUGCAUAUAUGUGAAAUGCUGUUGUGGACGCACAUGUGAGUAUCAGGUGAGUUUAUGUUGUUCAUAUGGUUUAUUGAUGAUGUAAAUUGUGUUGAGAGCUCAUAACCUGCACCCUGGUGUUAGUGCUUAUAUUAUUCACCCCGCACCACACGCUCACCUUGGAUCCAAGUAAGUGCAUGUCGUACAAAUCACUAGAGGUGAUUCCGACAUGUCGUACAGACCAUUAGAGGUGAUUCCGACUUGUAUGUGACUUUAGAUUAUUAUACAGCUGUUGAUGAGAGAAGCACUAUAGCGUAUUCUUACACCAUUCUUGUCGUACAGACUACUUCAGGUAGUUCCGAUUUAUGUGCAGAGUAGUGCCGUAUAGGUCACUGUGGUGACUCCGGUUGGUUGGAUAUUGAGCUAUAGAAUUAAUCGUACAGGACAACUGCAGGGUCUCAGGUUGGUACAUUAUUUCACUUGUUUUAUUGAUAUCCUUGUCAUGUUUUGAAUCAUAGCAUGGCAUAUUCUUGAAAAGUGUUAAAGAUUUGUGAUUUGAGUUUUGCUGCGAUAUAUGAUUAUGUAUAUACUAUUUUUUUGGGAAAGUAUACAAGUUUUACAGUGAAGGGUUAGAAGUGUUGUUAAAUGAAAUAUUUUUGAAAAGCUUUGUUUUACUGACCCACUCAAUCUUGUUUUGCGCCCCUCCAAGUUCUAGUUAGCAGUGUUUGAGGCUCACGAGGAUUCCCAAGGCAUUCUGACAGACUACAUAAAUGUAGGACUCACCUUCGGGUGUUGUAAUUUAGUUGUGGUCCUACUUGACUGCACUUAGUAUUUAUGCUCUAAACAUGUGUGUUUCACACUUAAACUCACUCUAGCAUGUUAGUUGGAUAUUAUUGCUAGUAGUUGGUUUUUAUUCCUUCGUAUUUCUCUUAUCUUUUUGCUUCUGCGUCACACUUUUGGUUACGUCACGCUCACAUGACGGCCAACACGCCUUGAUUUUAGGAUCGGGGUGUGUCAUAUGUGUGUGUGUGUGUAUGUGGGUAAUUAUUUGUACGUAAUGAUUUAUUAGAUUUAUUUUAUGCAAGAACCUACUUUUGAUAUGUAAAAUCCUUUUUGCUACAAAUUAUUUCAAAAAUUAGCUAGUAUGUAUUUCAUGUUCAUAUGUAAUUAGAGAUAUUUUUAGUUUGAAUUGGAGAAGGGGAUUAUGAUGAGUUUGGCUUGAUUUUUUUUCUCACAAAGGCUAAGUGGCGUUUUGGCAACCAUUAGGGAAUAAAGAGGAGGAGUUAGUCAUUACUAUAGAUAGGUUGAGGUGGGAUUCUAUAUCUUAUAAAGUAUGGAUGUGGCCUUUCGGUAUAAUUUUUGUUUUUAACUAACUUAACACAUGUUGCUUUGUUAUACGAACACAUCCUAUUGUCAAUGAUUAACUUCACAUUUGGUGUGUUUCUAUUGGAACACAUAGUAGGGCUAAUGAUUAGCUUAACAUUUGUUUUCUUUCUAUUGGGACCACAUAUCAUGGUUGAUAAUUGGUGAUGAUUCAUCCCCCUAAUUGUUUGGACGUGGCCUUUGGGUGCAAGGAACAUCUUGCAUGAUAUUCAUUAGUUCAUGAUUAAUCUAACACUUGUUGUUUUUCCAUUGGAACACAUCUCAUUCUUAAUGAUUAGAACAACAUUUGUUGCCUUGUGAUUGGAACACAUUUUAUGUCUAAUGAUUGGCAACACACUUGGUUUCUUUCUAUUGGCACACUUGAGAUUUUUUGGAGAGGUGGGAUUCAUAAUCCUUAGACUUUGAACGUGGCUUUUGAGUAUUUGUCCACAUGCAUGAGCAUGAUUGCUUCUAAUUACAAGAUGUCCAAGUGUUGCAAAACAAAGUGAAACGUGUCCUUAAGGCUUAAUGGAGGAUUCCAUUUCUUCAUCCAUAAAAGGCAGAGGGAAGAAAGAACACGGAAGAAGAGAACACACACCAGCAAGAACUUAGUAACAACAAGAAAAAUCUCCCCUUCUCAAACCACUCUUCCCACCAUCCUUUUCUUUUACCUUAUGUAAAGGUUCUAGGCCAUCUUCAAUGUAUUUUGUAAAUCUCUCUUACAUAGUGAAAACAUAAAUGCAUAUGCAACCCUAGUGGACAUAGCCAAAUUGGUGAACCACUUAAAUCUCCGUGUCCCUUUGUCUAAUUGCAAUAAAUUUGAGUUGAGCAAACCAUUUAGACACUGAGUUAUUAAAUAGAAACAUUCAAGGGCUGAAGUUUGCCUUGAAUAUAAAAUAAAAAACCUUGUGUAUGUUAGGCGUAGGGUGUAGGUCUUGAGUAUACAAAUUGGUUAAUUAUAAAAUAAUGAAAUCUUGUAUAAGUCAGGCACCGGGGGAAGGGCUUGAAUAUACAAUUGGGCGUCGAGGAAAGUGCUUGUAUAAUCAAGUGGAAAUUGAAAGUUUAAUUACAAAAAUUGGGGUUAAGGGAUGAACAGGAGUUAACUCAUAUUCUAAGGUAUCCGGAGCCAAGUGGUAUAAGCAUGGUAUGAGACGUGCAGGCUUGGGUGCCUUAAAUAUGUGUUGACAUGAUUAGAAGGGAGUGAGUACAUUCAUGCAUCUCAUUGCAUACAUUUUAUGUAUUUGCAAGAGCUACUCAUUUCAAUUUAGUUGGUACUAUUGUUAUGAAUUAAUUUUGUAUACUAAUAUUUUAUUUCCGCUGCGUACUCAAUAAAUUAUAUGUAGUAAACUCAAACUUUUAUUCUGAAAGAUUUGUAUACAGUGUAAUCGUUGUAAUUUAAUUUAAUUUUCCGCCAUAUCUUGGUUGUAUAAUUUAUUUCUAUAGCUAAAAUAUGGCUCACACCCUAACUCGUGGAUAGUCUUUAUUCGCGGGUCGGGGCGUGACAUAUUUACACUAAGGGGUGGGGAGCAUGAUCUCACAGUGGGCUUGCCAUAAUAAUUCAACUUGAAUUCGCCUGCGGUGAGAAUUGAACAUAAAACUUCUCACAUCCAAGUGAAGAAGAAUACUCCUAGGUUGUAGUACUAAGUGUCAUUGGUCCAAGGCUUUUAAAUCAAAUAGGUGCUACUUAGUACCACGAUCUAGUGAUAUUCCUUUUCACUUGUAAGUGAAAGGUCUUAAGUUCAAUUUUCGCCAAAGGCGAAUUUGAACCACAUUAUUGCUAGCCAUUGUGAGGCUAAGCCCAUCCCGCAUCCCCUUAGUGUAGAUAAUAUUAUUUGUUAAAAAAAAAAAUCAAAUAGGUUUACCUAUAGUCGCUUUAGAAAGCAGUCUCCUCCACAGCACCCUAAGUAUGGCAGACUCCGAGUGUUUUUUACUGUUAAAUUUUUAUUUAAAAAUACAAAAACUAAGAUCUAAUUGUUAAAACACAUGAAACAUUUCGUAGUCCACAACACUCUAGAAUUUUUGUUCGGUAGAUAAAAAUGGAGGAAAACUAAUGAAAUGAGUUUGAAAACUUUGAGUUUUAAUGAAAAGAACAAAAUAAAGGGUAAAGUGAAUAGUACCAUGAUUGAUUUAUUUAAUGUAAAAAUGUGAUUUUUUGUUAAAAUGAACAGUACCAAAAACUUUUCGUUAAUGUUUUCUAAAAAUGGCAUAAAAGAUUUUGACUUAAUUGUAACUAUGGUCGCUAAAAGUGUCCGCUAGGUAUACUUUGGUCCCGUAACUCGAAUAAUGUCUCGGAGUCCUUAAAACCGCCUCGUGUCAUGGUGUAAAACCUUUUCGACUGGCAAUGUACUUAUUUGAGCCAUAAAAGGGAAGAAGCUAAAUCAUCAUACAUUCAACUAAUCAUCCAUCCGAUACAAAAAAAAUUAUCCAGAAACUGUUCCUAAACUAGAGCAAACGAAAGUAACAACAAAAGAUGAACGAGAUUUUAAGAGAGAGAGGGCCGUAGGUAAAUAAUCAAGAAAUUGACAUAAGACGGAAGCUGUGACAUUUCUUUGACUCCAAAACUAAAAGCCAACCCCAAAAAACUCAAGCAAUACCAUACAGUAAAAACUUAAAGACAAAUUCCUUGUGUUGACAGGUACAAAUCUUGAAACUCCAGGGGCAGCAAAAUGAGAAGACGACGCCCUUCAGCUUGACCUAUCGCUCUCACGAUUAGGCAGAACAGCAACUAUCUUUCUUAACAGCAGAAACGUCAUCCUUGUUUCCGACAUUUAUGGUCUGUCCCUUGGGCAAUGCUGCAGGAUCAUCUCCGACCUCUAGUGCUUUCCGGCAGACUACAUGGUAUAUCUGUGUUAGGACUUCAGUGAAAGCAUUUUCAACGUUCAUAGACUCGAGUGCUGAUGUCUCCAUAAAGAAGGUGUUUUCUCUCUCAGCAAAAGCCUUAGCAUCCUCAACAGAAACAGCACGCAGGUGACGCAGGUCAGCUUUGUUACCCACGAGCAUUAUCACAAUGUUGGAGUCUGUGUGAUCCCGUAGCUCCUUCAACCAUCUCUCAACAUUCUCAAAUGUCACAUGCCGGGUGACAUCAUAGACAAGCAAAGCGCCAACAGCUCCUCGGUAGUAUGCACUUGUAAUUGCACGGUACCUUCAACAAAAGAAAAAAUUACUCAAAACUUAAAAUUCGGGCAAUCAUCAUUCACAAAUGACAACCGCAACCACAUCAAAACAACAAAUUAUUAAAUGCCCUGAAAGCUAUUAUCUCAAAUCUUCUAGUCUGCUACCGAAAAGGUUCACCAACACAAACUAAAGACUACAUCUGCUCGGUAGAAGGAAAGCAACGAAUAUUCAGUACCAAUCCUAUUUCCGAAAAACACACUAUUCAACACAUAAAGCCACAUUAGUAGAAUCCCUUGUUGGAUUUACAUCUGACGGUACAGGAGACAUCUUCACUUACCAGAUGACCUACUUAUAAUGUUCAAAAGUUUAUCCUUCUGCAAUGAACCAAGCAGAAAGAACUAAACAUGUACUUUUUCGAUGCUCAAUUCUUUGCGAUUAUAGCUUACAAUUUCGUAAUUUUGUAAUUUGAUAAUUCUAUUAUUCAAUACAAGAGAACAUGUUCAAAUUCAGAAGUGAUCUUACAUUGGUGUCAGAUUCUGUUCAGCAUUCAAACAAUAAACCGAAAACAAAAAUAAAAACCCAAUUAGUAGCAGAUCUCGAUUCGUAUGGCGAACGAAAACUCUAAACAGUCCCUUCAAUUUUCCCACAUUUUCUCAGCACCCAAUUACCCUUUUUCCCACAUUUUCUCAGCAUCCAAUCACCCAUUUACCCAAAUCCCAUAACAAAAAAUAAAAAAAUAAAAAAAAGGCAAACAGAUUGAAAUUAUCGAAAUGUGAAUUGGGCGAGAAAGUUAAAAACCUUUCUUGGCCAGCGGUAUCCCAAAUCUGGGCCUUGACGAUCUUCUCAUCAACGUGGAUACUCCGAGUGGCGAACUCGACGCCGAUCGUCGACUUCGACUCGAGGCUGAACUCGUUGCGCGUGAAUCUCGACAAAAGGUUGGAUUUUCCGACGCCGGAGUCGCCAAUCAACACCACCUUGAACAGAUAAUCAUAGUCGUCAUCCGCCCUGUACGCCAUGGCUGCCCUCCUCCCUCACAAAUCCAAAUUCGACUCGGCGGUUGGGUUUGGUUGGGUUCUGGUUUCCGGGUCGGAUCCGAAUUGGGUCGCCGGAUUUAUUCAAUUGGAAGAGCGACUCGGACUCGGAGGCAUGGAACGAAGGGAGGGAGGAUUGUGUGAAAACGGAAGGACGGCAAAUUUGAGAUUUUCUGCUGCUGAUAAAAAAUGAUAUGAUAUUUGAAGAGGUGUAUCACCUUGUGCCAUGUGGGCCCCACCCCAGAUUUAAGGCCCUUGUUUUUUCACUCCUGGGCCUGAAGGGUUAAUAGUUAUUUUUCUUAGAGGAAUCUUCGUACACUCAAAUUUCAUUAACCACUCGUAAACCGAUACGUAGAAAAAACUUAUUCGUUUUAAGAUGAGGUUUCAAAUUUUAAGUCGAAUGUCACACAAUCAAAUUUAAAAGUAUGAAGAACCUUCAACCGACAACGUGGAUUGAUGACAUAUGAAUGAAUUUUCUGCUGCCAAAAUUAACAUAUGAGAAAAGUGCUGCCAAUUUUUUUAUAAAUUAUCUUAUUGGGUGAGUCCUACAAAUAUCAUUUAUAAGAUAAAUAAUAAAUAGAUUAGAGGAAGAGAAAAUUUGACACUUGUCACAUUAGCUAUUAAAUUAACAUUUGAUAUUUAUUUUUUGACACAUUAGAGAUGGUCUUAGUGAUUUCUUAAAGAAAAAAAAUUAUUUAUUUUACGGCAAUAAAAUUUAGAGGGAAAAUUUGGAGAGAGUUGGAGAUUUCGCUGUAGAUGGUGUGAUUCAGAGUUUUCUUACUUUGUGGAUGCUUCUGCCUGUUUAGAGAAAGAAAAAACGAGGGGGUUGCAUGUUCUUGCAAACCAACAUUCAAAACUCACUUAGAAUAUAUUCAAACUUUGAAUAGAGAAGUAGAUGAGCUUGUGGAGACAAAACUUGGUUUUAAAAAUUAAAAAAAAAAAAAAUCUUUUUGGUGCCUUACAUCUCAAGCAAUCAAAAUCAAGAUAUACCUUGGGUUUGUUUGUUUGUUUGUUUUUAUUUUUUUGGAGAUGAAAAUAACAAUUACAAAGAAAAGACUUGUGGCGAGAAGAGCUAGCAAAAUCCCAUAAUGGAAUUUUAGAAUUACGCUUUUUUGUUGAAGCAUUUAACUCCAAGAUUCCAUGAUAAGGGGCCUAGUGGUAAUCUAUGCCCAAUUAUACAAGAAUAGAACAUUUUAUUAAUUGUAAUAUAAUAGGAAUGAGUGACUUGUCAUCCAAGAAAUUACAAUUUUAAUAAGAAAGACUUGUCCUUCAAGAAAUUACAAUUCUCUCUAUGCUUGUGCUCAUUAUUAUAGUGAUGGUGUAAAUCCUAGUUAUUAGAUUGAGUUUUAGAUUACUCCUUAUUAUAGUGAUUCUUUACUACUAGAAUUGUAAUUACUUGGAGGAUAAGUUAUUCCUUCCUCUUAGAUUACUAUUAAUAAAAAAGAGUAAUGCUUGGAAGACUAAAUUUGUAAACAAAAUUUUGUAAACUAUAUUACAUGAAAGUUGAUGGUUGGAUUAUUACUUAAGUGUUGAUAAACGUGCUCAUUCAUAUUAGUGACCACAUCAUUUAGUUUGUAAUUUUUUGUCUAUAAAUUUAGUUUUCCUAGUAUUACCCUUAGUAAAAAUACUGGUAUGUAAGAAUCACACAAUCUUAAACAUUCUACAAUUUCUCUCCACGCUCUCACUUGCCGCACCCUCUCUCAACCCUUUAGAUAAAUGGCCUCAACACAUAUCACAACGUUAUGGUAAAUGUUCUAUUCUUGUAUAAUUGGCACAGAUACACCAAUUAAAUGAAUGGUUGGAUCAUGUGGAGUAAAAGAUCCAAUGGCCAAAAAUAAAAGAAGAAGAAAGCAAACAAAAACAAGAAGAAGAAAGCCUAAACCACACCCCUGAUUAUACAUAAAUAAAAUCCAACAGCUUAGAAAAUUUUGCCAACUUAAAACAUGAAACCUGUUUGAAAUCCAUGACCCGUUUUAUGAAGAACCCUUUUGAUUUUAUAUUUUUUCCACGAAUUCGUGGCUCCUCAUUCUAAUCCUCCCUAACUCUACAUCGUCAUCUUGUUAGACAAUGGCAAAGUGUUGCAAAAAUUAAUAGUGUUGUGAGAACAUUGUCCCGAUUGGAUUAAAGUUAAAGAAUCAUUGUCACAAUUUUUUUUCAAUGCACUAUAAAUUACGUGCCAAAAAAACAAAGACUGCAGUAUAUAUUAUACCGCUGGUGAAAAUUAGGCAACAUACAUAUAACGUUUAGCAAACAUAUGAGAAUAAAAUCACUUCCAAGUCGAAAUAGUUAGGAGAAAAAAGUAAGCAAAAUAAGGCCGUUAAGGUCUGCCAUGCAUCCUGGCCACUCUAUAGUACACCGUGACCCUCCUCUAUACAAAUUAUACAGCGGCGGGGCUUUCUAACUAAAUCUGCAACCAUACUAAAAAAUAAAUAAAAAAACUAGUNNNNNNNNNNNNNNNNNNNNNNNNNNNNNNNNNNNNNNNNNNNNNNNNNNNNNNNNNNNNNNNNNNNNNNNNNNNNNNNNNNNNNNNNNNNNNNNNNNNNNNNNNNNNNNNNNNNNNNNNNNNNNNNNNNNNNNNNNNNNNNNNNNNNNNNNNNNNNNNNNNNNNNNNNNNNNNNNNNNNNNNNNNNNNNNNNNNNNNNNNNNNNNNNNNNNNNNNNNNNNNNNNNNNNNNNNNNNNNNNNNNNNNNNNNNNNNNNNNNNNNNNNNNNNNNNNNNNNNNNNNNNNNNNNNNNNNNNNNNNNNNNNNNNNNNNNNNNNNNNNNNNNNNNNNNNNNNNNNNNNNNNNNNNNNNNNNNNNNNNNNNNNNNNNNNNNNNNNNNNNNNNNNNNNNNNNNNNNNNNNNNNNNNNNNNNNNNNNNNNNNNNNNNNNNNNNNNNNNNNNNNNNNNNNNNNNNNNNNNNNNNNNNNNNNNNNNNNNNNNNNNNNNNNNNNNNNNNNNNNCCUCUGGCUGGAUCUGUUCGAGAUGGCCUAAGCUCUAGAGCCACAGUCUUAAAAGCCAAAAUUAGCUAACACAUUUGUAGGUAAGCUCACUUCACCAUAUAAACGCAUUAUAUGUAGAAUGAACACAUAUGCUGAUGACAAAAUAAAAUAUAGAUGCCUGCAAGACAUAUAAGGGGCGUUUGUUUGCCCUCACUAAGUGGUACUGGACUAGACUGGACUAACAAUUAGUCUAAUUUAGUGUUUGUUUUGUACUAGGAUUAUCUUUAAUGAGACUAAGAGGGACUCGCACGGACAAACUCCUUCGCUAGGAGUUCUUGGCCAGACCCCCCGAUACCCAUGGGAUUGCUAAGACCUCGUCUACUCCGUCCUCAAUCCUCAUCGUGCUUUUAUCUCUCUUGCUCUCUGUUCUUUUGAGCACCGACAACCACCAUCACACCACAACUCGCCAACUCCAGCGAGACCAUACCACCAACCUACCACCACUUUCUCCCUCUCUCCUCACCCUGAACCCAGAAUUUCGAACUGAGGAAGAUCCCGCUCUUACCGUUGUCUGUCCAACUCUAGUCGUCCUCCGAUCCACCCUCGAGGAAGAUCUCACACUCGCCGUCCUCGAUUCAAUACCGUCGAGGAGUUAUGUAGGUUAAUUUAUUUCAUUUCCUGUAUUUUUUUUUUGUUCAAUUUCAAACUCGUGAUGCAACUCUAAAAAAGGGCAGCAAAGCCUUGACCCGCAGCUCCAACACCGUCCCCUUUAUCCAGCCCCACUAGCUUGUUAAUCAGGUUUGUGUUAAUGGGUUUGAUAAAAUUACGUUAAGUCUGAGACAUUGCACCAAACGCUUCACUAAGUUAGUCCAGCUUAAUCUAGUCUAAGCCAGCCCAGCUUAGUCCCUGAAGCUAGUCCAAUCUGAGACUGUCCGGUGCAAAACAAACUCACCCAUAAAGCACUACUCAUAUUAAUUCAUCUAUAUGGCCCAAAGUAAGUUAGAACUACUAUUCAGUAGCUCAAAGAAAACCAAGAAUUAACUUUGAAGGCAAGUGUCAAAUUGUCUUAAUGGAUAGAGCAUUUCUCUACAAUUUACUACGUUCCAGAUUUAAACUCUCUCCCUUUUUAGUUUAGUUGAAUUUAGUGUAAAUUAUUCAAUCAUUUAUCGAAAUUUUUUGAAGAAGUAUAUAUGAUUUAAUGAGAUGGUUGGAUUUUGACAUUAUUAUCCAAGGGUAGUGCUAUAUGUACACCCUUUUUAACUUCUCCACAUCCCUCUCAAUUUUUCAAUCGUUAGAUUGAAUGAAUUGAAGAGGAUUCAUGACAAAAAAUUAAUAUAAAGGUGUAUGAGAGGUAAUACUGAGUGUGUAAAUUGCACUUUCCUUAUCCAAAUGAUUGUUCCAAAUCUAGUCCAGUUAAGAAAAUCUGUGAGUAUUUAAUGGAGUCGGGCAUGAAGAAGUAAUGAAUUCUCCCACAAAUAAAAAGAAUAUCUUGUAAAAACCUAUGUUACAUAGUGGUGGCAAUGUGUUAAGCCUUUACAUGAUGGCGUGGAUUCAAAUCUCGUCGGUGGGUAAUUUGAUAUCUAAUCUUACAAAAUCUAUCGUUUGACAAAAAAAAAAAAAAAAAAAAAAAACCUAUGUUAUCGUUAUCCCUAAUUUUCUAAUCAUUUGAACGAUUUUAACUGGCCUAUUAUGUAUGAAUGCUUUUGUAGAAAACACUUUUCUUUUCAAUUUCUAUAUGUGGGAAUACUUUUGUGAGAAGCAUAUCGAAAUUUCAAUCCACUUGGCAUUACAAUUUAGUGGUAUUUUUUUUCACUUAUAAAUAUGAGGUCUUAUAUUCUCGUGAAUAAUAAGUUUAGUACCAAAUUAUUACGAUUGACUUAUUAUGUGGCUUAACUCAAAUUUUUAUCCCUUAAUAUAAAUAUAUUAUUGUAUCAAAGAAAUUCAAAUUUUUUCAACACUUGAAAUCACUAUUUCACGAAUUGAUUUUGCAAUUCCUCCUCACAAAAAACAUUAAAAGUGCUCUAUAACUUAACUAAUAAUUUUAUCAUUUUAGGUGGAAUGUUCUAAGAAACUUAGUUAAAAGCAUUCACCUCUAUACUAUUUAUUAGGUUUGGCAAUUCCUGACACAAUCCGAUAACCCAACACGACACAGCACGAAAUUAACAGGUGUUCGGGUCGACACGAUAACAAAUCGGGUCAUUAUUGGGUAACCCGAUAAGCACAUGUUAAGAUAACGGUUUGGUUUGGAUAUACACGUGGAUAACAUGAUAAACGAUAAGCAAAAUAUUAAUUUUAUAAUUUUAUAACCCUAAAAAAAUACUAUAAUAAUUAUAUAUAUUAAUUUAACAAUUUUAUACCCCUAAAAACUAUAAUAAUUAUAUAUAUGGGAUAUGAUCAAGGGACAAACAUUUUGACAAAUAUUUUUACACUUCUUUUAAACCUUUAGAUUACAAAACAUCCAAAGGUCCAUAUUCAUUCAUUAAAUGACAUGGAUGCUUAAGGGAUUUUAACUAAUAUUAAUGACAAAAAUUAAAACUGAAAAAAAAAAUUCUGGAAAAUUAAAAAUAAAUUUUAAAAAUGGAAUAAACCCUAACUAGUUGUAAUCAUGAAAACAAACUACCUGCAGACUUUGAGCCAAUAACAAAAACAAUGAAAUCUCUUUUUAAUUUGCCGAUUGCGUAUGCAAAGCUUGGAUAAGAUUGUUGCCAAAAGUCCCUUAAUAUCUACAGAAAAAUCACCAUUAGGUAAGCAAAAGUAGGCUUGGCAAACGGGUCGUGUCUGUCGUGUUCGUGUCGUUUUCGUGUAACACCUGUUAUCUUAACGGGUCGUGUCGUGUCACACCCAUUAUCUUAACGGGUCCUUAACAGGUCGUGUCACUUUACCCAACGGGUAAAGUGACCCGACCCGUUAUGACCCGUUAAGAAAAAUAUAUUUUUUUUUAAAUUUGCACAUACCACAUAUUGCCAUAUAAAUAUUACUUCAAAACAUUAAAACAUUUGUCAUGUAAGUACUAUAACUACACUCGAAAAUAAGAGCCUAAUAAAAAAAAAUAAUACAUACACUACUAAUCUAUUAUAAAUAUUAAAUGUGCAAGGAUAUGCAAAAUGAAAGAGUUUUUGUUUUCACGGUUGUAAGUCUUUCUCAAAAGAUUAAAUCUCAGCCGAUCCAAAUGGUCAUCAAUUUUUUAAAUUUAAUUUAAUAUAUAUAAUUAUAUUAUAUAAUUACUAUAGUUUUUAGGGGUAUAAAAUUGUUAAAUUAAUAUAUAUAAUUCUUAUAGUUGAUUCAUACUUUUAUUAAGUAUAUAACAUAAGAUUUUGUGAUAUCCACAUCCACUAGUGUAAAUAUUUUAAAUUGAAGAUCAAAUUCAUAUAUGGUCAAGGACUGUAGCUGUAAAAAAUCAUCAAAAUUGGAGUUAAAAUAACCGUUAAAUCGUGAUUUUUCGUUUAUAACCGUCGAAAAGUUUUGUCCCGUUACUUGAUCUCUGAAUGUUUGUUUUUUGUGAUUUUUUGCUUAUGUGAUCUCGAAGCAUAUACAAACAAGUUUAACGGUUGGGAUCGUUGAAAUUAGUUUCGGAGAAUUCGUAUCCCAUCAAAACAAUAGAUUGACUAACACUUAAAGUUUAUUUAUAUUUUCAUUAAGUAUAACAUAAGAUUUUGUGUUAUCUACUUGUGUAAAUAUUUUAAAUUGAAGAUCGAAUUCAUUCUUUGUAUUCAUAUAGGGUCAAGGAGUGUAGCUGUAAAAAAUCAUCAAAAUCGGAGUUAAAAUAACCGUUAAAUCAUGAUUUUUCGUUUAUAACCGUCGAAAAGUUUUGUCUCGUUACUUGAUCUCUAAAUGUUUGUUUUUUGUGAUUUUUUGCUGAUGUGAUCUCGAAGCAUAUACAAACAAGUUUGAUGAUUGGAAUCGUUGAAAUUAGUUUCGGAGAAUUCGUAUCACCCAUCAAAACAAUAGAUUGACUAACACUUAGAGUUUAUUUCUACUUUCAUUAAGUAUAACAUAAGAUUUUGUGGUAUCCACUUGUGUAAAUAUUUUAAAUUGAAGAUCGAAUUCAUUCAUUGUAUUCAUAUAGGGUCAAGGACUAUAGCUGUAAAAAUCAUCAAAAUCGGAGUUAAAAUAACCGUUAAAUCGUGAUUUUUCGUUUAUAACCGUCGAAAAGCUUUGUCCCGUUACUUGAUCUCUAAAUGUUUGAUUUUGUGAUUUUUUGGUGAUGUGAUCUCGAAGCAUAUACAAACAAGUUUGACGGUUGAGAUCGUUGAAAUUAGUUUCGGAGAAUUUGUAUCCCAUCAAAACAAUAGAUUGACUAACACUUAAGAGUUUAUUUUUACUUUCAUUAAGUAUAACAUAAGAUUUUGUGGUAUCCACUUGUGUAAAUAUUUUAAAUUGAAGAUCGAAUUCAUUCAUUGUAUUCAUAUAGGGUCAAGGAGUGUAGCUGUAAAAAAUCAUUAAAAUCGGAGUUAAAAAUAACCGAUAAAUCGUGAUUUUUCGUUUAUAACCGUCGAAAAGAUUUGUCCCGUUACUUAAUCUUUGAAUGUUUGUUUUUUGUGAUUUUUUUGGUGAUGUGAUCUCGAAGCAUAUACAAACAAGUUUGACGGCUGUGAUCGUUGAAAUAUGUUUCGGAGAAUUCGUAUCCCAUCAAGUUCAAUGGUGUAUGUAUACAUAUAUAUAUAUAUUAAGUAGAUUUAAAUCUAUUUAUUUUGUAUGUAUAAUUGACCGGUACACAGAAUAGUACAUCACGUGUCAUUAUAAAAAUAGUGGGAUAUAUCAUGUGCGAUAAAAAGUUAAUAACUUAAAAAAAAAUAUUCUCACCACUGCACUUCUAUUAAUUUUAUUUUUUCCCUCUCUUUUUUGUUUCCUUUUCAACUUUUCAUAUAAUUUUCACUUUUCCCUCCACCCUAUCCAUUCAUCUUUCCCUAAUUCCCUCUCUUUUUUGUUUCCUUUUCAACUUUUCUUAUCAUUUUCAUUUUCCCUCCCUUUUUCUUCAAAAAGGGCGGCAUUGCAGCAAGGAAUGGAAUGGAUCAAUUAUGGAAUCAAAAUUCAAAUCAAUGGAUGCAUACAUAUUAAUUAAUAAUUAUUAUAGUUUUUAUAAUUCAAAAUUUAAUCUAUAUAUAUAUAUAUAUAUAAUUAUUAUAGAUAGUUAAUAUUUUGGGGUAUAAUUAUUGUAGUAUAUAUAAUUAUUAUAAUUAUUAUAGUUAAUUUAAUAUAUAUAUAUAGAUAUUUAUUAUAGUUUUUAGGGGUAUAAAAUUGUUAAAUUAAUAUAUAUAAUUAUUAUAGAUAGUUAAUAUUUUGGGGUAUAAUUAUUAUAGUAUAUAUAAUUAUUAUAAUUAUUAUAGUUAAUUUAAUAUAUAUAUAUAUAUAUAUAGAUAUUUAUUAUAGUUUUUAGGGGUAUAAAAUUGUUAAAUUAAUAUAUAUAAUUAUUACAAUAUUUUUUUUAGGGUUCUAAAAUUAUAAAAUUAAUAUUCUGCUUAUCGUGUAUCGUGUUACCCACGUGUAUACCCGAAUCAACUCGUUAUCUUAACAGGUGCUUAUCGGGUUACCCGAUAACGACCCGAAUCGUUAUCGUGUCGACCCGAACACUUGUUAAUUUCGUGUCGUGUCGUGUCAGGAAUUGCCAGGCCUAAGCAAAACACAAUCCUAUAUUCUUUAUUAUUUUCCUCUCUCCUUUUUAAUUUUAAUUUUAAUUACCUUCUAUAUUUUAUGCUUUUUGAAUUUUAUUUUUAUGUUUAAUAUUAGUUAAAAUCCACUUAAGCAUCCAUGUCAUUUAAUGAAUGAAUAUGGACCUUUGGAUGUUUUGUAAUCUAAAGGUUUAAAAGAAGUAUAAAAAUAUUUGUCAAAAUGUUUGUCUCUUGAUCCUAUCCCUAUAUAUAUAUUAAAUAUAAUUUUAAAAAAUUGGAGAGACCAUUGGAUCGGCUGAGAUUUAAUCUCAGCCGUCCAUUGUGCAUUAGGUUGGAGGCUAAUAUAUUUUUAUAUGGUAUAGUACUAUUGUUUUAUUUCUUUUCAUAAUUAUUUUGGUAAACUUCUCAUAAUUUGAAUUGUUUUUAAUGUUUGAUUUUUCUAUACUUAGUUUAUGCGAAAGAGAGUUAUGAUGUGGAAAACCUUACUGAAAACAUCAUCAACAUAACUCUUGAAGGCAAUAGAUCAUGCCAAAGUUCCAAUACAAUUUCUUCAUGAUGAUCGAUGAAAAUUGAGGAUUUUGUAAAAGGAAUAACAUGCAAGCUUUGAGUUCCAUUGGUAAGGUUUAAACUUUUGAGAAAGGCUUCACAACAUUGAAACCAAAAAAACUCUUUCAUUUUGCAUAUCCUUGCACAUUUAAUAUUUUGUAAUAGACUAAUAGUGUAUGGAUGGUUUUUUUUUAGGCUCUUAUUUUCGAGUGUAGAUGUAGUACUUAAACGACAAAUGUGUUUUAAUGUUUUGAAGUAAUAUUUAUGUGGCAAUGUGUGGUAUGUGCAAAUUUAAGAAAAAAAAUUAUAUUUUUCUUAACGGGUCGGGUUGGGUAAAGUGACUCGACCUGUUAAGGACCCGUUAAGAUAACAGGUGUGACACGACACGACCCGUUAAGAUAAACAGGUGUUACACGAAAACGACACGAACACGACAGACACGACCCGUUUGCUAGGCCUACUAUUUAUACAAAAAAUAAUCAAUCUUGUAUCUGAUUUAGAAAUUUCUCCUUUGUAUUAUACUUAAAAUAAAGAAAGGGUAAAUCUCAGUUUAUUACCCUCAAGUUUCACGGUUUUCAACAUUUAGUACAUGAAUUUUUUUUCGUCCAAGAGUCAUACCUAAAGUGUUAAUUUUGGGACAGUCUCAAACAUCUGUUAGUCUAGCUGUUAAGUCUUUCGUUAACUGAUGACAUGGAGCUCAUGUGGACAAAUGACUGGACGCCACAUGUCAUUAAGGGUCCACGUGAAAAUAAAAAAAAUAAAAAAAUAAAAAAACCAGAAUUUCAGAAUUCAAAACUCCUUUCCCAUUCCUCUUCUUCCCAACCGCCUUCCCGAUUUCUGGAAACACUGGCAGCCAUCUCAGCACGUGCAAGCCCCUACAGGAAUCCAGUUCUGGCGGAAUGGAACCUCAUUUCCCCUUUUCUCCGCGCCCAAUUCUCCACUCGCGAAAUUGGCUUGGCGAAUGGGGUUUCCUGAUUCCACAUCACGAACCCUACAAGAUCGCUCAAAAUGCUCGAACCCAAUACACUAUUUUCAUGGAGGGUUGAGGCGCCUCUAAAUCCCCGUACGGACUACAAGUCGUGGAGGGCGUUGGCGAAGUCGAAGACGUUCGUGUUGGUGCGCUUAGCCAUGGUAGCAUAGGAGGCGGAGGCUACGACGCUGAUGUGGGUUAGGGUUUCGAGGGUAGAGGGCUUCAUGGAUUUGAAUCCGACUAAUUGGGUGAUCUGAGACUGGCAAUGGCGAAUUGGAACUCUGGUGGGAUCAGGUUUUGGAUUGGAGGUGCUGGGCUUUGUUUGAGUUUUGGGAUUUUGUGUCAUGAUUUGGAUUUUUGGGACAUGGUGGUGGUGGCGUUGGCGGAUUGGAAGAAGAUUUAGUGUUGCAGAUGAGGAAUGGGAAUGUGGUUUUGAAUUUUAAAAUUUUGGGUUUUUUUUUGUUUGAAAUUUUAAUUUCCACGUGGACCCCUUAAUGACACGUGGCUCCCAGUCAUUGUCCACAUGGACGCCACGUUAUCAGUUAACAAAAAACUUAACAACCAGACUAACGAAUAUAUAAGACUGUCCCAAAAUUAACAUUUUAGGUAUGACUCUGGGAUGAAAAAAAUUCCAUGUACUAAAUGUUGAAAACCACGAAAUUUGAUGGUAGUAAACUGAUAUUUACCCUAAAAGCAACAUUCAAAAUGCGGGAAGAAAAGAAUAAAACAGAUGGGUGGCGAAUGACAGUAGUUCCAAUAUUAGCCAAUCAUCAGGAGUUGGAUUGUGGACAGAACCAACAUCUUUAAAUCGGAAUAAAAUUAAAAAUGUCUGACAAAUAUCAAAGUUUUCUCUCUCUCUCUCUCUCUCUCUCUCUCUCUCUCUCUCUCUCUCUCUCUCUAUGCCUUCCAAGCAAAAAUUUCACUGUUCCAAAAUCACAAUCCCUCCCUUAUUCACCUCAAUUUUUUUGCAAGUUUUUUAAUUCUUAAUCUCAUGCUUUUUGUCUCUCAGAAUAGAAGGAGAAUAUAUAGAUGGGCUUUUUAGCAAAAUGGUCUCUAAGAUUUGCAUAACACAUAACUUUAGUCUCUGAGAUUGGAAAUCAAUAGAAGUAGUUCAUGAGAUUGUCCACUAUCUGUUAUUUUGGUCAUUCCAUUAAAAAACUCAGUUAAAUGGUCCCUGAGCUUUUUAACGUUUUAACGGAAUGACCAAAAUGAUGGAUGGUGGAUAAUCUCAGGAACCAAAAGUUAUGUGUUAUGCAAAUCUCAGAGACCAUUUUGGCUAAAAAUACCCUCAACUUAAUGGAGUUUUUUAACAGAAUGACCAAAAUAAUGGAUAGUGGACAAUCUCAGUGACCACUUCUAUUGAUUUUCAAUCUCAAUGACCAAAAUUAUGUGUUAUGCGAAUCUUAAUGACCAUUUUGACUAAAAAGGCUAUAUAUAUAUAUAUAUAUAUAUAUAUAUAUAUAUAUAUAUAGAGAGAGAGAGAGAGAGAGAGAGAGAGAGAGAGAGAGAGAGAGAGAGAGAGAGAGAGAGAGAGAGACAGAGAGAGAGAGAGAGAGAGAGAGAGAGAGACUUUAGAUGCGGUCGCUAACCACUAAUACUCAUUGAUUAUAACCUUAGUGGUUUUCAAUUUUUGAUCAAAAUCCUUUAACUUUGUACACCUCAGCAUAUUAAUAUUAGGGUUAAUCUCUGUUUACUACUCUGAAGUUUCGUGGUUUUCAACAUUUAGUACAUGAAGUUUUUUUCAUGCCAGAGUCAUACCUAAAGUGUUAAUUUUGGGACAGUCUCAUACAUCCGUUAGUCAAACUGAUAACUCUGCCGUUAAAUGAUGAUGUGGCGCCACGUGUCAUUAAAAAAAUAAAAAUAAAAACUAUUAAAAUAAUUAAUAAAAUAAAAAAGUAAAAAAAAUUAAAAAACCAUCAUCUCCUACCUCUUUCCCCCACCCCGAUCCCAACCAUCAUUCCCUCCUACCUUACCCCCUCCCCUUGCGAGAAAAAACCCAUCAUCUUCUACCUCCCCCGAUCCCACCCAACCCUUCCUCUCUUUUCUCCUCUACGCCCACCCAACCCUCCCUCCCAUGCCCGAUCUAAAAACCCUCUUGGACUGGCGAAGAUGAACAAGAUCGUGGUGAGAUCGUUGGUCGGUGGUCUGCACGGUGCCCGAAACUACACCGCUGCAUUUCCACGACGGUUGCUGCUAGGUUGUUGGACGACGUCGAGUUCCUGAGCCGCCGGAGCAACGACGAUGUUAGCAAAUCUGGGGAUGGCUUCGAAGUUUCUAGGUUUUGGUAGGAGAGAAUGAAGGAAGGGUUUGGAGCUUGCUCAGUCUGUGGUGUCGCGGCCUUGAACCGAACUCAUCGAGGUUGCACAUAGUAGAACAUUCCACAUCGCCACCAACAACCUUGUCUGCCUGCCAACACCACACACAUCCCUUACGCCGCCACCAGGAUCCGAUCCGACCCAGAGUCGCUCUUGGCUUGUAGAUCCGAGUAGGGGUGUGGUGGGGUGUGAGUUAGUAAUGAAAUUAGUCAAACUUGGUUAUUUGACUAAUGAGGUGUAAAUCAAUAGGUUUGUAGGUGUAGGAAGGUGUAAAUCAAUGGGUCAACCAGAUUUGGUUGAUUUGAGUGGUUUGAGGUGAUUUGCUCUGGUUUGGGUGGUUUGAGGAAGGGUGUUGCAGGUGCAGAAGAGAGAAAGGAGGGAAAGGGUGCGAGUUGCAUAGGGAAGAAGGAAGGGUUUUGUGAUGGAGGGGGUGGAAGGAUGACUGUGCAGGUGGGAAAGUGGUGGAGAGGGUGGAGAAAAUGGAGGGAUGUCGGGGAAGACGACGGGUUCUGGGUCGGAUCGACGUGCAGGUGGGUGGGGCAUUCGGUGGUGUACGAGUUCGACGUGCAGAGGAGAAAGUGAUGAACAGAGAAGGACUAGGCCUAUGUAGAGGGAAAGGGAGAAAAAACAAAAGGGGAUCUGGGGAGAAGGGGGAGGGGGAAGGGGAAGGAUGGAUGUGCAGAUGUGCAGAGGGAGAAGGGAGGGAGGUCGGGGUGGGGAAGACAAAGGAGAUAUGGGGAUUUUUUUGUUUUUUUACUUUUAUUUUAUUAAUUAUUUUAAUAGUUUUUUUUUAAAUUUUUUUAAUGACACAUGGCGCCCAGUCAUUGUCCACGUGGACGCCACGUCAUCAUUUAACGGCAGAGUUAAUAGUUUGACUAACGGAUGUAUGAGACUAUCCCAAAAUUAACACUUUAGGUAUGACUCUGGGAAGAAAAAAAUUUCAUGUACUAAAUGUUGAAAAUCAUGAAACUUCAGGGUAGUAAACAGUGAUUAAUAUUAAUAUAUUUCUAUGUCAACAAUAAAACUUGAGAUUUUAUGGUAUUUAAAAUCUCACAUCUAAUGAGGUAUAAAAAAAAAGGGCCAACAAAAAAUAUGGAAAUUUUUUUCAAAAAUUUUGAUUGAAUAAAAAAUCAAUAUAACAAUAUAAUUCCUUUUGAAAAUGUAUACUAAUCAUUUACGCAUAUAUAUGUAUCAAUCAAUUGGAAACAGUGUUAAAAAGUGUCAACAGAAUGUAUCCAACAUUGUUAUGAAUUUGACCAAAAGAAAACUUUGUUAUGAAUGACAAAAUAGUCAUCACAUGUCAAAAGAAUGUACCAGUACAUUCGUCAUAUGUAAUUAUCUAUGGGGUACAAUUUCAACAUUGUUCCAAAAGUAAAAUGUUUUAACAUGUAACUCAUAUAAAUGUUUUGAAAGAAUGUACCCAUAUAAUUAUGGGAGCUUUAUAUAUAGAGACAAAAAACUUUCAUUAUAUUUCAAGGAACUCCACUAGUUCUUAAACAUGUCAAUGAGAGACAAAAACAUAAAAACAACUAAAGCCCAACCCAAAAACAUGAAAACAAUGUUUUAAAAUACCAGUUAUACCCCUAAGGCUUUAGAUUAAACAAAAACCCAGCCCUCACAACUCCAACAAAAUUAAUAUAUUCCAUAAGCUCAACUCAUCAUCCACUAUUUAUGUAACAUCCCACAUCGCCCAUGAGAGUGAAUCAUCUAUGCCUUAUAUGUAUAUUCUCAUCUCUACCUAGCAUGAGACAUUUUGGGAGCUCAUUGGCUUUGGGUUCUGUAGGAACUUCAAAGUUAAGAGAGUUCGCACGAGAGCAAUCUCAAGAUGGGUAACCCACUGGGAAGUUUUCAUGUGAGUUCUCAGAAACAAAACUAUGAGGGCGUGGUCGGGGCCCAAAGUGGACAAUAUCGUGCUACGGUGGAGUCAAGCCCGGGAUGUGGUGGGGGCCGGGCCGGGAUGUGACAAUUUGAUAUCAGAGCCAAUCCAUGGCCAGAUGUGUGUGUCGACGAGGGCGUCGGGCCCCUAAAGGGAUGGAUUGUAACAUCCCACAUCGCCCAGGGGAGUGGAUCAUCUAUGCCUUAUAUGUAUAUUCUCAUCUCUACCUAGCACGAGGUUUUUUGGGAGCUCACUGACUUCGGGUUCCGUAGGAACUCCGAAGUGAAGCGAGUUCGUGUGAGACAAUCCCAGGAUAGGUGACCCAUUGGGAAGUUCUCGUGUGAGUUCUCAUAAACAAAACCGUGAGGGCGUGGUUGGGGCCCAAAGCGGACAAUAUCGUGCUACGGUGGAGUUGAGUCUGGGAUGUAGUGGGAACCCGGGACGGGAUGUGACAAUUUAUGCAGAAUCGGUUUUGAAACUAUAUGCAAAAUCAGUUUGUAUCAUAUAUUACUAAAAUCAGUUCAAUCUGUCCUUGACCAUAUUUGUAGAAUCAGUUCAACUCGUCAUUGACUAUUUUUGCAGAAUCAGUUUAACCCGUCAUUGGCCAUUUUUUGUAAAAUCAGUUCAACUCUUUUGCUGACCAUUUUUACAGAACUAGUUCAAUUAAUCAUUGACCAUUUUUGCAGAAUCAAUUCAACUCGUCUUCGACCAUUUUUGCAGAAUCAGUUCAACCCGUCUUCGACUAUAUUUGCAGAAUCAAUUCAAUCAGUUAUCAACCAUUUUUGCAGAAUUAGUUCAACCCGUCCUCAACCAUUUUUGCAUAAUCAGUACAACUCUUGCUCGAUCAUUUUUGUAGAAUUAGUUCAACUCGUUAUCGACCAUUUUUGCAGAAUCAGUUCAAUCAGUCAUCGACCAUUUUUGUAGAAUUAGUUCAACCUAUCAUCGACCAUUCUUGCAUAAUCAAUUCAUCUCGUCCUAAACGAUUUUUGCAUAAUCAAUUCAACCCGUCUAAAACCAUUUUUACAGAAUCAUUUUAAUUAGUCAUCGGCCAUUUUUGUAGAAUCAGAAUCAGCUCAACCUGUCCUCAGCUAUUUUUACAGAAUCAGUUCAACCCGUCAUCAACCAUUUUUUACAUAAUUAGUUCAAUAAGGCAUUGAUUAUUUUUGCAGAAUCAGUUCAACCCAUCUUCGACGAUUUUUGUAAAUCAAUUUUAAAUAUAUGUAAAAUCAGUUUUGUAUAUACUUUUUUAGUAAAAUCAAUUUAUAUAAUUUCUCCAUAUAUAAAGCUCCCUAGUAUAAUCAGUUUAUAUUUUUUCAAAAGAAAAUAAUUUAAAAAUUAAAAAUUAACUUAAAAAAUUAAGUGGGAAGUGGAUCCCACCCAUCCUUUCCACCUACCAUCCCACCUCCUGACCUCCCAUUCUUCUUCGUCACCCUUAAACUCACAAUCCCUCAUUAUUCACGACUUCAUCCUCUCCAAUUUGUUUCUUCUUCUUCGGACAAAUUUCAGAACUUCCAAUCUACAAGUCGGUUUGACAAACGGUUUUUACUACGGAAUCAGUGAAUGUAACCUAACUAGCUAAGGUAAUUUUUAGAAACAUGCAUUCUGGUUUUGAAAACCCUGAAUACCAUACAGUAAAAACUUAAAGACAAAUUCCUUGUGUUGACAGGUACAAAUCUUGAAACUCCAGGGGCAGCAAAAUGAGAAGACGACGCCCUUCAGCUUGACCUAUCGCUCUCACGAUUAGGCAGAAACAGCAACUAUCUUUCUUAACAGCAGAAACGUCAUCCUUGUUUCCGACAUUUAUGGUCUGUCCCUUGGGCAAUGCUGCAGGAUCAUCUCCGACCUCUAGUGCUUUCCGGCAGACUACAUGGUAUAUCUGUGUUAGGACUUCAGUGAAAGCAUUUUCAACGUU
This 34366-nucleotide long non-coding RNA is filed under the name Malus domestica (apple). RNAcentral describes it as "long non-coding RNA (MDOM_LNC010868)". Lineage: Eukaryota; Viridiplantae; Streptophyta; Magnoliopsida; Rosales; Rosaceae. The record is from RNAcentral.